Long non-coding RNA from Nelumbo nucifera (sacred lotus), 358 nucleotides. RefSeq lists it as uncharacterized. Lineage: Eukaryota; Viridiplantae; Streptophyta; Magnoliopsida; Proteales; Nelumbonaceae. The record is from RefSeq and is a predicted model, not a curated record.
CAAGACUAGAGGCGGUGAGCCAGUGACCCCAUCUUCAACAACGACGACUAGCGACUGGCGAAGCAGCAAACUCAUCUCUCCAGCAAGGCAGUGCCCCAUCUCCCAUUCUCUAAACCUGAUAUACUUUAACAGAGUCAGAGGUGGCGUCCUCAUCCCUAAUAGUGGCUAGCGGCACUUUGGCAAGCGGCAACCAGUGAUAGAGAACACCAUCAGGGGGUCAAGUUUGUUGGGCAAUCCUAUAGGAUCUUCAAGUUAUUAGAAGAGGAGGGAUCAAAUAGUAGUGAUGAUGAUGAAGAAGGUGUUGAACUUGAUGAUAUGUUUUAGUUUUGAUGGCUCAAGAAGGCAGGAUAUUCAAGCU